This 897-nucleotide ribosomal RNA is filed under the name Staphylococcus epidermidis. RNAcentral's name for it is "bacterial SSU rRNA". It matches the Rfam family "Bacterial small subunit ribosomal RNA", at positions 50 to 873 of the family's 1533-position model. Lineage: Bacteria; Bacillati; Bacillota; Bacilli; Caryophanales; Staphylococcaceae. The record is from RNAcentral.
UAUACAUGCAGUCGAGCGAACAGACGAGGAGCUUGCUCCUCUGACGUUAGCGGCGGACGGGUGAGUAACACGUGGAUAACCUACCUAUAAGACUGGGAUAACUUCGGGAAACCGGAGCUAAUACCGGAUAAUAUAUUGAACCGCAUGGUUCAAUAGUGAAAGACGGUUUUGCUGUCACUUAUAGAUGGAUCCGCGCCGCAUUAGCUAGUUGGUAAGGUAACGGCUUACCAAGGCAACGAUGCGUAGCCGACCUGAGAGGGUGAUCGGCCACACUGGAACUGAGACACGGUCCAGACUCCUACGGGAGGCAGCAGUAGGGAAUCUUCCGCAAUGGGCGAAAGCCUGACGGAGCAACGCCGCGUGAGUGAUGAAGGUCUUCGGAUCGUAAAACUCUGUUAUUAGGGAAGAACAAAUGUGUAAGUAACUAUGCACGUCUUGACGGUACCUAAUCAGAAAGCCACGGCUAACUACGUGCCAGCAGCCGCGGUGAUACGUAUGUGCCAAGCGUUAUCCGGAAUUAUUGGGGGUAAAGCGCUCGUACGCGGUUUUUUAAGUUUCAUGUGAAUGCCCACGUGUCGUCCGUGUACGCUCAUUGAAUACUGAAAGACUUGACUGCAGAAGAGAAAGGUGGAAAUCCACGUGUAGCUAUGAAAUGCGCAUAGAUGUGGAGGAACACCAGUGAUGAAAGCCAGUUUCUGCUCUGUAACUGACGCUAACGUGCGAAAGUACGGACAUCAAAGUCGACUACAUCCCCGGGGAUUCCACGUAUUUAAUCGACGAUUGCUCGCUGCUCAUGGGAUUUCCGCUUUCUUACUGCUGCAGUUAAGUUUUUCAGUUUCCCAUGCUGCGCAAUAGGUACAGCCAGGGUGCAUUCUCAUCGGACUUGAAAAAGCCCCC